Molecule: long non-coding RNA, 1447 nt
Organism: Myripristis murdjan (pinecone soldierfish)
Lineage: Eukaryota; Metazoa; Chordata; Actinopteri; Holocentriformes; Holocentridae
Exons: 3
Source: RefSeq, a predicted model, not a curated record
AAGUCUUAAAAAGUGAUUCAGUGACGGCUGAUGCAGUUUUCAUUUUGUUUGCAGAACUUCCAGACUGAAUUGGAAAGAGCUCAGAGUGCACUAUCAGAUCCAGAUCUCCUACCACGUGCACAGAUAAACAUGGCUGAGCACACAGAAAACCUGCAGGUGAAAGUCUGCGAGAAGAUGAUGAGCGUUUUAAAAACACCCCUGUAAUUCUGGAGCCCAACACAUUGUCCCCUCAGCUCCGUCCUACAGUGGAGAUGUAUGAAGAUGAUUUUAGGGAGGAAACUGAAAUGUAUUUUUUAUUUUUGAGUUAUAUGUUGUAAUGGGAUGGCUCUGGAGGAGAGCAGAAUUCUGGAAAGUGCAUUUUUAUGGUUGUUGAGUGCAGUGCAUUAUGGGCCGUGACAGUCUUCAAACAGUUGGUGAGAGUGGUUCAUGGGAAUGAGAUUUUUGACAAAUUCCAGUUUUUUUUUUUUUUUUACCAAGCACACAGUUGCUCUCCUUACAUCCUGAUGCAGUUAGACCGCGGUGAACCCGUCAUUUAAAUUUAGCCAUUCAUAUAACUGACCUGGUAUUUUAUUAGAUUGCUUGGGAAACUGGUCGAGAUAUCUGGAGUUGUUCUUAAAUGGUUCUCCUCAUGUUUAUCCAACAGAAAAAACUUUGUGUCAUUUGGUGUUAAGAAGUCUCACAGCGCUCCUCUGAUGUGGGGUUCCACAGGGGCCCAUUCUUGGACCAGUCUUAUUUUUGUUACAUCUGCUCCCUCCAGGACAUAUUAUCCAGCAAUUUGAUUGUAUCUUUUAUCAUUGCUAUGCUGACGAUAUUCAGUUGUAUGUUUCUGUAAAUCAUAAUGACCCCUCAAAUUACUACAGUUAUUUGGCCUUUCCUAUCCUUUCAACAAUUAGAGACAAUUGUCCAUGCCUUUGUUUUCUCUCAACCUGACAACUAUAAUGCAUUUUACUCAAAGCUAAGCCAAGAGGCCAUGGCUCAGUUACAAGUAGUUUAAAAUUCUGCACUAAAACUCCACACUGAUCCCGUAUCACUCCAGCCCUGGUCUCUUGGCUCCCUGGCAAGUUGAGAAUUGAGUUCAGGAUCCUGUUUAUUACAUACAAGGCUCUACAAAAACCUGGUCCCAAGAUAUCAGGCAACCUUUGACCCCCUGUGAGCCUGCCAGGUCACUGAGGUCCUCUGAUCAGGAUCUCCAAGCUGCUCCUUGCUCAAGACUCAAGAUUCAGUUCCAAAUCAUGAAAUAGUCACCUCCUGAGGAUCAGGUCAACUGGCUGUCUUAAAGGUUGUAAAUCAUAUCUGAAGACCCAUUUUUACAGGAAAUGUAUCUCUUUAUCUCUUGUCUCACUUGUUUCUACAUAUCAAUUUCUUCUUAAAUAUCUUUUAAAAUCUAAUUUGCUGUUGCACUUGAUCUUUUUAUUUGUGUUUUUUAUGCAUUUGUAUUAUUGUAAAC